GGAAAGGUUGUAGCUCAUGGUAGAGCAUCUGUCUUGCAUGCAGAAAGUCCCAGGUUUGAUUUCUGGCAUCUCCA
Non-coding RNA from Podarcis lilfordi (Lilford's wall lizard), 74 nucleotides. NCBI's taxonomy places the organism in Eukaryota, Metazoa, Chordata, Lepidosauria, Squamata, Lacertidae. The record is from the annotation of a GenBank genome assembly.